RNAcentral lists this transfer RNA (19 nucleotides) under Phytophthora x cambivora. RNAcentral's name for it is "Phytophthora cambivora partial tRNA-Ile". Lineage: Eukaryota; Oomycota; Peronosporomycetes; Peronosporales; Peronosporaceae. RNAcentral also lists the same sequence under 36 other names. The record is from RNAcentral.
GGGCCUAUAACUCAGUUGG